UAUGCGAAAAACAAACCUUAGCUAGCAGUAUCCUGAGUAGGGCGGGACACGAGGAAUCCUGUCUGAAUCCGGGUCGACCACGAUCCAACCCUAAAUACUAAUACCAGAUCGAUAGUGCACAAGUACCGUGAGGGAAAGGUGAAAAGAACUGAGGUGAUCAGAGUGAAAUAGAACCUGAAACCAUUUGCUUACAAUCAUUCAGAGCCCUAUGUAGCAAUACAGGGUGAUGGACUGCCUUUUGCAUAAUGAGCCUGCGAGUUGUGGUGUCUGGCAAGGUUAAGCAAACGCGAAGCCGUAGCGAAAGCGAGUCUGAAUAGGGCGCUUAGUCAGAUGCUGCAGACCCGAAACGAAGUGAUCUAUCCAUGAGCAAGUUGAAGCUAGUGUAAGAACUAGUGGAGGACUGAACCCAUAGGCGUUGAAAAGCCCCGGGAUGACUUGUGGAUAGGGGUGAAAGGCCAAUCAAACUUCGUGAUAGCUGGUUCUCUCCGAAAUAUAUUUAGGUAUAGCGUUGUGUCGUAAUAUAAGGGGGUAGAGCACUGAAUGGGCUAGGGCAUACACCAAUGUACCAAACCCUAUCAAACUCCGAAUACCUUAUAUGUAAUCACAGCAGUCAGGCGGCGAGUGAUAAAAUCCGUCGUCAAGAGGGAAACAACCCAGACUACCAGCUAAGGUCCCUAAAUCUUACUUAAGUGGAAAACGAUGUGAAGUUACUUAAACAACCAGGAGGUUGGCUUAGAAGCAGCCAUCCUUUAAAGAAAGCGUAAUAGCUCACUGGUCUAGUGAUUUUGCGCGGAAAAUAUAACGGGGCUAAAGUAAGUACCGAAGCUGUAGACUUGCACACAA
This 843-nucleotide ribosomal RNA is filed under the name Campylobacter jejuni. RNAcentral's name for it is "partial 23S ribosomal RNA". It matches the Rfam family "Bacterial large subunit ribosomal RNA", at positions 376 to 1217 of the family's 2925-position model. Lineage: Bacteria; Pseudomonadati; Campylobacterota; Epsilonproteobacteria; Campylobacterales; Campylobacteraceae. The record is from RNAcentral.